RNAcentral lists this ribosomal RNA (455 nucleotides) under uncultured organism. Its description in RNAcentral is "partial 16S ribosomal RNA". It matches the Rfam family "Bacterial small subunit ribosomal RNA", at positions 334 to 797 of the family's 1533-position model. The record is from RNAcentral.
CACUCCUGCGGGAGGCAGCAGUGGGGAAUAUUGCACAAUGGGCGCAAGCCUGAUGCAGCGACGCCGCGUGGGGGAUGAAGGCCUUCGGGUUGUAAACUCCUUUCGCUAGGGACGAAGCUUUUUUGUGACGGUACCUAGAUAAGAAGCACCGGCUAACUACGUGCCAGCAGCCGCGGUAAUACGUAGGGUGCGAGCGUUGUCCGGAAUUACUGGGCGUAAAGGGCUCGUAGGUGGUUUGUCGCGUCGUCUGUGAAAUUCUGGGGCUUAACUCCGGGCGUGCAGGCGAUACGGGCAUAACUUGAGUGCUGUAGGGGUAACUGGAAUUCCUGGUGUAGCGGUGAAAUGCGCAGAUAUCAGGAGGAACACCGAUGGCGAAGGCAGGUUACUGGGCAGUUACUGACGCUGAGGAGCGAAAGCAUGGGUAGCGAACAGGAUUAGAUACCCGAGUAGUCCCA